GAUGAACGCUGGCGGCGUGCCUAAUACAUGCAAGUCGAGCGAACAGACGAGGAGCUUGCUCCUCUGACGUUAGCGGCGGACGGGUGAGUAACACGUGGAUAACCUACCUAUAAGACUGGGAUAACUUCGGGAAACCGGAGCUAAUACCGGAUAACAUGUUGAACCGCAUGGUUCAACAGUGAAAGACGGUCUUGCUGUCACUUAUAGAUGGAUCCGCGCCGCAUUAGCUAGUUGGUAAGGUAACGGCUUACCAAGGCAACGAUGCGUAGCCGACCUGAGAGGGUGAUCGGCCACACUGGAACUGAGACACGGUCCAGACUCCUACGGGAGGCAGCAGUAGGGAAUCUUCCGCGAUGGGCGAAAGCCUGACGGAGCAACGCCGCGUGAGUGAAGAAGGUCUUCGGAUCGUAAAACGCUGUUAUUAGGGAAGAACAAAUGUGUAAGUAACUAUGCACGUCUUGACGGUACCUAAUCAGAAAGCCACGGCUAACUACGUG
This 497-nucleotide ribosomal RNA is filed under the name uncultured bacterium. RNAcentral describes it as "partial 16S ribosomal RNA". It matches the Rfam family "Bacterial small subunit ribosomal RNA", at positions 28 to 507 of the family's 1533-position model. The record is from RNAcentral.